Molecule: unclassified non-coding RNA, 377 nt
Filed under: uncultured Chlamydiales bacterium
Lineage: Bacteria; Pseudomonadati; Chlamydiota; Chlamydiia; Chlamydiales
Description: contains 16S-23S intergenic spacer region
Source: RNAcentral
UCCUGGUUAACCCAGGCAGUCUCAUUAGAGUUCCCAUCCGAAAUGUUGGCAACUAAUGAUAAGGGUUGCGCUCGUUGCGGGACUUAACCCAACACCUCACGGCACGAGCUGACGACAGCCAUGCAGCACCUGUGCAAUGGUCCCGAAAGAAGGCGCCAUCUCUGGCGCUGUCCAUUGCAUGUCAAGCCUGGGUAAGGUUCUUCGCGUUGCAUCGAAUUAAACCACAUGCUCCACUGCUUGUGCGGGUCCCCGUCAAUUCUUUUGAGUUUCACCCUUGCGGGCGUACUCCCCAGGCGGCAUACUUAACGCGUUCGCUUCGGCACAACCGGGGUUGAGUCCGGUUACACCAAGUAUGCAUCGUUUACGGCUAGGACUAC